ACGGGAGCAAUCCUGGUGGCGAGUGGCGAACGGGUGAGUAAUAUAUCGGAACGUGCCCAGUCGUGGGGGAUAACGCAGCGAAAGCUGUGCUAAUACCGCAUACGAUCUCUGGAUGAAAGCGGGGGACCGCAAGGCCUCGCGCGAUUGGAGCGGCCGAUAUCAGAUUAGCUAGUUGGUGGGGUAAAAGCUCACCAAGGCGACGAUCUGUAGCUGGUCUGAGAGGACGACCAGCCACACUGGAACUGAGACACGGUCCAGACUCCUACGGGAGGCAGCAGUGGGGAAUUUUGGACAAUGGGCGCAAGCCUGAUCCAGCAAUGCCGCGUGCAGGAUGAAGGCCUUCGGGUUGUAAACUGCUUUUGUACGGAGCGAAAAGGUUCUUUUUAAUACAAGGAACUCAUGACGGUACCGUAAGAAUAAGCACCGGCUAACUACGUGCCAGCAGCCGCGGUAAUACGUAGGGUGCGAGCGUUAAUCGGAAUUACUGGGCGUAAAGCGUGCGCAGGCGGUUUUGUAAGACAGAUGUGAAAUCCCCGGGCUUAACCUGGGACCUGCAUUUGUGACUGCAAGGCUAGAGUACGGUAGAGGGGGAUGGAAUUCCGCGUGUAGCAGUGAAAUGCGUAGAUAUGCGGAGGAACACCGAUGGCGAAGGCAAUCCCCUGGACCUGUACUGACGCUCAUGCACGAAAGCGUGGGGAGCAAACAGGAUUAGAUACCCUGGUAGUCCACGCCCUAAACGAUGUCAACUGGUUGUUGGGUCUUUACUGACUCAGUAACGAAGCUAACGCGUGAAGUUGACCGCCUGGGGAGUACGGCCGCAA
This 821-nucleotide ribosomal RNA is filed under the name uncultured bacterium. RNAcentral's name for it is "bacterial SSU rRNA". It matches the Rfam family "Bacterial small subunit ribosomal RNA", at positions 73 to 891 of the family's 1533-position model. The record is from RNAcentral.